GUCCAAAUUGCAACAUUGGUAAAAAAGAGUGGCCCAAGAUGUAAUUUACUCAAAAAAAUAAUUACAGAAUCUACUAAUCUCAAGCUGGCCAUUCUGCCAGCAUUCUAUUGCUUCAAAUGGCACUGUAAUUUAAUUAUACGUGGAGCAACGAGAUAAAAGACAUGCUGUGCACAGCGAUCUGAUGUACUGUCUCGCAACUCGCAAGUAUAUCUUUCUGGAUCUCUCAAAAAAAUGCUUCUAAUCGCCCGUCCGGUGGGAAGCCAAAUAUCGGACGCAUCGCUGCUGCUGCCGGGGCUCACACGCUGCCUGUUGUGCCGCCCACGUCUCUCUCACGCGCGCAGAGUCCUCAUGCUGCCACGUAUCCCCACCACAUAUUCCGUUGCAAUAAAUCACCUACAUAUUUUGGAAAACCCUCUUUUAAGGGAAUCUGUUUUUUUUUCCACUAAAAAUGUUACACCUAGUGUACUCACAAUGUUUCACUAUGUAUAGAUCUAAUGUUGCAAUGAAUUGAAACAUUCUUUUGCAACAAAUCACCCAUAUAUUAUGGAAACCCUUUAUUAAGGGAACUCGUUUCAUUUUUUGUUCCACAAAAAAUGUUUCACCUAGUGUAUUGAUAAUAUUUCACUAUGUAUGGAUCAAAUGUUAUAGUGAAUUAAAACAUCCUUUCGCUAUUCGCUGAAACAUUAUUUUCAUAUAAGGUGAAACAGUGUCUGAUGAAAUAUUUUCGAUCUAGUUAGUUAAACAAUUCCGAUAUACUUGGUGCAACAGCGUGUAACAUUUAAAAAUAAUUCAAUAAUAAGCUCAAUUUUUUUCAUUGGAUUAUAUCCAUGUGUGGUCUUGUUUUAAAGAUUUAAUUGCAAUGGAUUUAAUAGUGCAAUCAGAUCAUGAUUUGGAUAAAUAAUUUAAGAGAAAAAAUAGUUUAAAGUUCGCUUAGAUGCAUACAUGCAGGAUGACAUCAUGAUGACAUGGGUGCCCGAUUUUUCUAAAAAAAAUGGGACUUCCGAUUUGUAGCUCUCUCCGGAUCUCUUGCAUAUGCGCACCCAGCCGCAGUGCAUGCAUGUGCAUUAAUAAUUAGAAUUUAACAUUAAUAUCAUUUAAAAUCUAAGACAAGAUACAUCUCAAAAGAAAACCAAUUAUUUAAAUAUUAAAUAAUUAAAUUAAAUAUAUAAAAAGAGUAGCAAGUAUUGAAAACAAUUAAAAAUGAAAAAAAUGUGCUAAUCCACAAAUUUUACUUUUUUUAAGGUAAGUCAGUUGAAAAAUGUUCCAAUAAAUAUGAUAAGUGACAUUGUUUAAAUUCAAAAUAGGUAACUUAACCAAGUUGAUAUCCCAUAUCUUUAACUAUUAUAAAAAUUCAACAUGUUUUUAUCAACAAUUUCGUACGUCGCCCAUACGAUUCGCACGCGUAUUUUCCUGUGUUGUCCGACUCUUGAUCAAGGCGCACGAAUUUUUGCUGUGAAAAUCUCUUUUCUGUUUGAUUCCCUUACUAGAUAACAUCCGUAUUUUUCACACGUCAGGAUAUAGGCCUACGUAGCUUCCAUUCAGGCCUAGGCCCACUAAUCCAAUUUGUUUGCACCAAAAACAGAUACAAGCAUGAUCUACUGACGAGAACCCCUUUGAGCGGCUAAAAAACAUCUUCGGGAAAAAUUAACUCCUAUUAUAUAUAUAUCUAUAUACCUAAUUUAUAUCUAUACCUAAUAAAAAAAAUGUAAUAACAUCUCCCAGGCCGCGCCGUGCCUCGGCCCCUCCUCCUCCUUCGUCGGAAGCCGUCGGGCCGCCGUCCAUGUCGCCUCCCCGAGGAGCCCGCUGCUGCCACCACUUGCUGCCGUGCCCUUUUGGCCGCCGCCCCUCGCCAGCGCCCCAUGGUGAGGACCCCCUCCCUCUCCCAUCCCUUCCGCUGCUCCGCGCGCUGCCACUCACCGCCGGUGUCGCCGCUGGUGGCCGUCCGGCUACACGCCGCCGCCGCCUAGUCGAGUUGGCCGGCGAGCCAACCCGCCCCUCUGCCACGCACCACUACCGUGGACUCGGUCUACAGUGGACCAAAUCCUUUGACCCGCUGAUGUGUGGGGCCCGCCCUUUGUGGACUUGGUCCGCGCCUCUCUCCUUGUUGCGGCAGCAAAUGCCUUUUCCUUUGUAAAAUUAAUUAAUAAUUACGCAAUAAAUCAAUAAUAAUUCUAGAAAUUCAUUUAAAUGGCUCAAAACUUCUAAAAUUCAUAUCUAAUUCAUACGAACUCCGAAUUGAGCCAUUCAACUUGCAAAAUUCAUCUAAAAUUGAGAUAUACAUGUUUGUUUACUUUUUAUGUUAUUUGUUUUUCUAGUCCGUUAGUAAACCGCGAGACAAAUUUAUUAAGCCUAAUUAAUCCGUCAUUAGCAAAUGUUUACUGCAGCACCAUAUUGUCAAAUCAUAUAGCAAUUAUGCUUAAAAGAUUCAUCUCGCAAAUUAGUCACAAUUUGUGUAAUUAGUUACUUUAUACAUGUGUUCAAACGUUCGAUGUGAAAAGAUGUAAAAUUUUGGGGUGGGAUAGCCUUACUAAUACUACCACAUGUGUUUCUCACUCUACUUUUCGGAGUUGCACUGCUCAGCCGCGCGGCGGCGCGGGUGUUGGGUGGACUUCGACGCGCGCACCUCGCUUGUCAACGUCACCAUGGCUCCCCUCGAGCUGCCCAAACCGAGGACGCCGCUGCUCUCCGCCGCCGUGAACCUCUCGGCCGUGAUAGAAGACGAAGCCUACGUCGGCUUCUCCUCGUCCACCGGCGUCGUCGCGAGCCGCGCGCCACUACGUGCUUGCCUGGAGCUUCAAGAUGGACGGGCCAGCACCAUCGCUAAACGUAUCAAACCUGCCGGCGUUGCCUGUCACGAUCGGCAGGGCUCCGUCCAACGUUCUGAAGAUACUAUUGCCGAUAGCCUCGAUCGGCUGUUCUCGUCAUUCACCGGAGACGACGUAGGUAUGCGGAGCUUAAAGAGGAUUGGGAGGUUGCGUUUGGGCCACUGGUUCUCAUACAAGGAUAUGUUCCGUGCCACCAAUGGUUUCUCUUAUGAGCGAUUGCUUGGCUUUGGAGGAUUUGGAAGGGUGUACAAGGUGAGUGCUUCUGGUAUCCCGAGUGGAGAUUGCCGUGAAGGUGUCCCUUGAAUCCUCUCCCUACACCCAUUACUGCCCCCUCAAUGGUGAAUCCUUCCACCUCACCUGCACCUGCGGCAUACCCGCUGCCGACGACUUCAACCUCUCCUCCUUCUGCAUCAUUGACAAACCCAACAUCAAACCCAAUGACGCCUGCUAUCAGCAUGCCACCUCCUGCUCUCACCACAACUCCACCCACUGCCCCAGGUCUUUCCGGGCAGCAACUAUGGUGUGUGGCCAAGGCUGACUCAGCAGAUACUGCACUUAAGAAUGCACUGGACUAAGCGUGCGGCAUUGGAGGAGCAGAUUGCUUAGCAAUACAACCAUCAGGCACUUGUUAUUAUCCAAAUACCUUAGGUGCACAUGCAUCCUAUCACUACCGGAGAAGUGAUCUUUGCCUGGUGGAAAAAAACCACAAUAGUCCCAGUUCCAAAAACUAUCUUUAGCCCCGGUUAAAAAUCUCACAACCAUUAUAUGAUCUUUAGUCCCGAUUGGUAACAACAACCGGGACUAAAGAUGGUUCAUCCCCUGUCAGCCUGUCAGGGUGCUAAUGAUCUUUAGUCCCGAUUGGUGCACCAACCGGGACUAAAGAUCACUAUUUUAAUCCCGGUUGGUAUUUCUAACCGGCACUAAAGAUUAAGAUGAUCAUUAGUCCCGGUUGGUAUUACCAACCGGGAUUAAAAUUUAAUGCGUAGUAUAUAAUCACUCUCCCUUAUUCUCUCAACCACACUUAUCCUCUCAACCCACAGAUCCGGCCCCUUCUCUUCUUCCUCCUCCCCUUCCUCCUCCCUCCCACAGAUCCCCUCUCCUCCCCUCUUCCUCCCUUUCCAUCCGGCGGGCAGGCGGCCGGCGGCCAGUGGGGCCACGCCCGGCGGCAGCGGCCGGCGGGGCCGCGCGCUGCAGCGGCGGGAAGGCGGCCGGCAGGCCCGCGCACGGCGGCGGGGCCACAGGCGGCGGGCGCCGGCGGGCAUGGGGCCGGCGGCCGGUGGGGCAGCAUCGGCGCCCUCUCCUCCUUUCUUUUUUUUUUCAUAUAAUUUGUGAUUCACUAAGAUGUAUAAUUUGGUGAUUCAUUGCAUUGAUCUGAUUUGUGAUGUAUUUGAUUUGGAACACAACAGUCUUAAUUUGUGAUUCACUUGUGAUGUAUUUGAUUUGUGUGUAUAAAUAACUUAAAGAUUUGGGAUGUGAAUGAUUUGGGAUGUCACUUUUGAUUUGGGGAUUUAGGGUUUGAUUUGGGAAUAUGCAUCCCACUGGAUUUGGGAGAAAAUACAGGGAUUAAAGAAAAAGAAAAGGGGACGAAGGACCGCCGCUAUUCUCUCUUUAGUCCUAAAGAUCUAUUUUUAGUCCCGGUUAUUUCAACCGGGACUAAAAAUGGGUAUCUUUAGUCCCAGAUUCCUCGUCCCGAUUGCAUAACCGGGGAAAAAAAAACAGUUGCCACCCGGUGGCAAAGAUCAGUUGUGCAGCAGUGUACGCUUUCAACAGCUAUUACCAGAGGAGCCCUGCACCCUCCAGCUGCGAUUUUUGGGGGACGACAAUGCUUGUCAAUGUGAAUCCCAGUAAGGAUGAAUCUCCUCUCAUUUCAAUGUCAUUAUGUUUGUGUUGUAAAGAUCAUUUUAUGUGUGUAUAUUUCCUUUGCAGGCUCAGGAAGCUGUGUUUUGGCAUCGUCAAUGUCGUUACCAUCAAGGUGAAAAUCAUUUCAACUCUGAAAAGGAAUUGUGAUGGUAGGGUUUUUGGAAGGAACAGUGAUGAUUAUUGGUGCUGGGUUUGUAGAUGGGACUGUGAUUGGCAUCGUUGGAUUAGUUGCCUGUUCAUCGUGGGCAGUUUGUUUGCCUGCAGUUUUAACUAACAAAUAGUUAAUUAGUCAUUGAGUGUCAUCAUUAGCAAACCAAAGGCUUUUAUUAUGUCCUGAUUAAGCUCAGGUCAGCCUUCUAAAAGAUGUACUAGUACUUAAUCAAAGAGUAGUCGUUUUUUUUUAAAAAAAACAGGACACAAUUUGUAAUAUCCAUGAGUAGGAAACGGUCGUGAUUCAGGCAAUUAAAAAGGACUAAUGAUCCAUUAGGUGGGAUGUGGGAUUGAACAUAGAUAAACUAGUUGGCAGCCCGCGUAUUUGCCGCGGGUUUUAUAGUUUUAUCGUCAAACAAAAUCAUAAAAAUGGUUAGGUGUAACUCUAUGUAUAUACAAAAUAUAUGAUAAUAUGGAUUUAUAUAUGUCUUAUGUUAUUACAAUACAAUUUAGCUUUAUUUUUUCAAACAUCAUUGUGUAUUGUUAUAAUAUAUGAAUAUUAUUUUCAUAUGCAAUAUGGGUUUCGUUAUAGUUAGACAAUUUACAUUUCUCUACUUCACUCAAGUUUUUUCUGAAAAUAGAUUCAGGUAACGAUACCUAAUAAUUAUAUGCUAUUUUGUCAUGCGUAAUAAAAAAAACAUACAUAUUAAACAAUAAUCACAUAAUAAACAAUAAUUUGAGUAGUAUUUGGAAAACAUGGUGUUAUGCACAAAAUAUAUAACAGUGCUAUGUGUGACAGUGAGGUAGAGCAAAGGGAGGUGAAUGGAUAACUAAUAAAUGAUUGAAUUGGAUGAAUAAGUGGCUUCUUGAUCCAAUGGUUAUUAUCUUUAUACUAAUAUUUUAUACUAAUAUGAUCAAAUGGCUUAAAAUUUUUGAUGACGUAGCUUCUUACAUGUCUUACUUUAUAGGAAUAAAUGCCCCUAGUGUGUACCAACUAUAUAGAAAGAUAGGAUUAGAUUUCCUUUCCAUGCUCUUGUAAUAUUCUACUAGUAGUAAGAAAAGAGACGAAAUAGCGUUAUGUCGUGGUUCCCCCAUUCCAUUGGAUGGUGUAUUAUCAAAUUUCUCGGUCCAAAGAACAAGACCAAAUUGUUAAUUUGGUCAAGUCCAAUCCCUCGUCACGCUAAGCUCUUGCAACCAAACAGGAAUGUACAAGUCGAAAUACCUCUAAAACUGGUGUAGGAUUAAAGGAAUGAUGAAAAACCGUAGUCAUAUGCUAGCCAAAUGGAGGAGCAAACGCGGUGCAUUAGGGAGCUAGAGGGAAGGAAAAGGGAAAAACAUGGGAACAGAAAGGAAGAUCUGGCCUUGUGGACGCCAGCAGCAACUAUACAACACUUUGAUAGUUCAUACACAGUGAACUGAACUGAAGGUGCAGAUGGAAGCAGAGGAAUAAGCACACAGACCUGAGCAGCAGGGAAGCGCGCGGGAGAGGAUGCAGGAGCAGGAGAGGAGGAGGAGGAAGAGGAAGAGGAAGAGGAAGAAGAAGAUAUCCUAUCUCCUGGCCAUAGUUGUGCUGUGUUGCUGGGAAGCUCAAGAAAUGCGAUUUGGGAGUGGAGAAAGGGACAUAGGGGAGUGGGGAACUGGCGAUAUGACUAGAGAG
Molecule: long non-coding RNA, 6492 nt
Filed under: Oryza sativa (Asian cultivated rice)
Lineage: Eukaryota; Viridiplantae; Streptophyta; Magnoliopsida; Poales; Poaceae
Description: long non-coding RNA (OSAT_LNC000382)
Source: RNAcentral